ACACACCAACAUGUUAAAACUCUUCACCACCAUUAACCAUUUUUUUCUAUCAACUCACAUAAUAACACGUUCUUCAUUUCAUCCCUACCAACACAACAUAAACUUUAUCACAAUCACAGUCACAAUCUUCAUGCUUUCCUCACACCUCACAUUUCAAGUCUCCAUGUAAAACCACUAUUCCAUCUUCAUGAUACAAACACUCCACAAAAUCAAAAUCUUCAACAUCAUAUAACCAACAACAUAUCCAGCAUAAAAACAUCAUAUUCACACUCUUCUACACAAACCGAACACCAUAAACUCAUAAUCCUCCAUGAAACCUUUC
RNAcentral lists this long non-coding RNA (322 nucleotides) under Lathyrus oleraceus (garden pea). Its description in RNAcentral is "Pisum sativum (pea) long non-coding RNA (PSAT_LNC022879)". The record is from RNAcentral. Lineage: Eukaryota; Viridiplantae; Streptophyta; Magnoliopsida; Fabales; Fabaceae.